This 274-nucleotide ribosomal RNA is filed under the name uncultured bacterium. Its description in RNAcentral is "partial 16S ribosomal RNA". It matches the Rfam family "Bacterial small subunit ribosomal RNA", at positions 523 to 796 of the family's 1533-position model. The record is from RNAcentral.
AUACGGAGGGUGCAAGCGUUAUUCGGAAUCACUGGGCGUAAAGGACGCGUAGGCGGGUUGGCAAGUCAGAUGUGAAAUCCUACAGCUUAACUGUAGAACUGCAUUUGAAACUGCUAACCUAGAGUAUGGGAGGGGGAGAUGGAAUUAGUGGUGUAGGGGUAAAAUCCGUAGAUAUCACUAGGAAUACCGAAAGCGAAGGCGAUCUCCUGGAACAUAACUGACGCUAAGGCGUGAAAGCGUGGGGAGCAAACGGGAUUAGAUACCCUAGUAGUCC